RNAcentral lists this ribosomal RNA (261 nucleotides) under uncultured bacterium. RNAcentral's name for it is "partial 16S ribosomal RNA". It matches the Rfam family "Bacterial small subunit ribosomal RNA", at positions 526 to 779 of the family's 1533-position model. The record is from RNAcentral.
CGUAGGGUGCGAGCGUUGUCCGGAAUUACUGGGCGUAAAGAGCUCGUAGGUGGUUUGUCGUCGUCGUGUGUGAAAUUCCGGGGCUUAACUUCGGGGUUGCAUACGGAUACGGGCAUAACUUGAGUGCUGUAGGGGAGACUGGAAAUUCCUGGUGUAGCGGUGAAAUGCGCAGGAUAUCAGGAGGAACACCGGAAUGGCGAAGGCAGGUCUCUGGGCAGUACUGACGCUGAGGAGCGAAAGCAUGGGGGAGCGAACAGGAUU